ACAUCAGCCUGCAUUUAUACACAAAACUUACCAGGUAUUUAAGAUGAAAGGUAUUUGCAAGUUCAAAGAUACAUUCUGGAAAUUAUAUGGUCUCGGAGAAUAAUAAUAAUAGUAGUGUUAAUAAUAAUGCCUAUGUGUAUGGUGGGACAUGCAUUUAUCUUCAUUUUAUGCUUUAUUGGCAUUUUGCUAUGCACACAUUUUAAAAUGAAUAGCUAAGCAAGGUCAAAUGCAGCAAAUGAGAUAAUCAAGACAGUAAAUUGAAGACAGGAUGACCUUUUGGAAGGUUCAUCAAUGAUUUACAUCCAGCAAUUUGUACUCUUUUUGGCCUAAUUCUAUAUCUUGCCUUGUUCAGCAAUGUCGUCAUCAGUACCAUCAAGGAAGAAGCCAGCCAACUGUGGCCGGCAUUGCUGAAAAAGCAUGAGAUCCAAAACAUUCUUUCCCUGCUGGGACAAAACAUUUUCAGAGGCAUUCUUUCCUCCAAUAUGGGCUUGUCACCUAACUUGAAUUGCAAGGCCUUGGAGCUAAGCUGGAACCAAUUUAAAAGAACAAUAGUCUGUGACAGCUAUUAAGGCUUAAAAUGUCUGUGGAUUUUUAGAAGCACCCCUAAAGGAAAUAGAUAGAAGAGAGUGAAUAUUCAACAGGAUUAAAAUGUGGACUCCUUUAUCUGGACAGCAUCCUAAAUUGAAAGUGUUCUCAGGGUGGCAAGGUUAAUGAGUGUUAUCUACAGGAAGCAAUCUAAGAGCCUAUUUAACUUCAACAUCAUGUGGAGAUGAGCCCUGACCUAGUAAGUUAAUAAAUAGGGGUUUCCACAUACACAAGACAGAAGCCAAGCACGUAAUUAGCAGCCCUUUCCAUUUGAAUAAGCUGAUACAGUCUGAAAACAUUUCAUUCCACAAAAAAGGGGAAAAAUGAAGACAAAAAGAGUCCACAGAGUUCCAUCAAGCUAUUAAGAAAUACUUUAAUAACAUUUUCUCCUGUGUUUUGAGAAUGGUUGUAAAAUCAAAUAUAGGGGAUUUUAUUCCCCUGUAAUUGCCUUGAUAUAAUUCUUGCCUGUAUAAAAAAGAAAGAGUAUGUGUGUCAACAGAAUUCAAACUAUAAUGCAGGAAUACUUGCCCACUGACUAGGGAUCAGGGAUGUCAUAUGGUUUUCUUAGGAAUACUCAAAGUUAGUUUACCAUUACCUUCCUUUGAAUCUUGGCAGUCUUCCAUCCAAGUUCUAACCAGGGAUCAACCAGUUUAGCUUGCUAAAUCAAACACAAUCUGAUGUCUUCAUAGUAUCUAGGCCCCUCUACUGACAGUAUCUGAUAUUGAUUCCUGAUGUUUAUUUUUGCAGUCAUAGACCUUUGUAAGGCUACAAAU
RNAcentral lists this long non-coding RNA (1358 nucleotides) under Anolis carolinensis (green anole). RNAcentral describes it as "lncRNA (ENSACAG00000038728.1)". Lineage: Eukaryota; Metazoa; Chordata; Lepidosauria; Squamata; Anolidae. The record is from RNAcentral.